AACCGGCGAGUUAUUGUAUUAUGCAAGGUUAAGUCGAACAGAUGGAGCCGAAGCGAAAGCAAGUCUGAAUAGGGCGCUUUAGUAUGAUGCAAUAGACCCGAAACCGAGUGAUCUAGCCAUGAGCAGGUUGAAGUUGGGGUAAGACCCAAUGGAGGACCGAACCGAUAUGCCCGGAAACGCGUACGGAUGACUUGUGGUUAGCGGAGAAAUUCCAAACGAACUCGGAGAUAGCUGGUUCUCCCCGAAAUAGGUUUAGGCCUAGCCUUGAUUGAAUCUGCCCGGAGGUAGAGCACUGAAUGUGCGAUGGCGUCGUCUAGAUGUACUGAGUACAAUCAAACUCCGAAUGCUGGGUAGUACUAAUCAGGAGUCACUGUAUGGGUGAUAACGUCCAUACGGGAGAGGAAAAGAAUCCGGAUCGCCAGCUAAGGUCCCAAAAUUUGUGUUAAGUGGGAAAGGAUGUAGAGUUGUCAAAACAGCUAGGAGGUUGGCUUAGAAGCAGCCACCCUUUAAAGAGUGCGUAAUAGCUCACUAGUCGAGUGACACUGCGCCGAAGAUGUACCGGGGCUAAACACAAUACCGAAGCUGCGGACUUGCAUGUAAGUGCAAGUGGUAGGGGAGCGUUCUAAGUGCUGAGAAGGUAGACCGUAAGGACUGCUGGAGCGCUUAGAAGUGAGAAUGCCGGUGUGAGUAACGAAAAUUGGGUGAGAAUCCCAUUCACCGUUUGACUAAGGGUUCCUGGGUAAAGUUCGUCUUCCCAGGGUAAGUCAGGACCUAAGAUGAGGCUGAAAAGCGUAGUCGAUGGACAACAGGUUGAUAUUCCUGUACCACCUAUAUGACUGAAGGAGUGACGGAGAAAGCUAGUGAGAGCCAGUUAAUGGAUUCUGGUUUAAGUGCGUAGGCUAGUAUGUUGGCAAAUCCGCAAUACUAUAACAGCUGAAACAUGAUGGGGAAGAGAGUCUUCGGACAAUCGAACUUUCAUGAUGCUAUGCUUCCAAGAAAAGCUUCUAGGGUUAAUCGUAUAGGUGCCUGUACCGACAACCGACACAGGUGGUCAAGGAGAGUAUCCUAAGGUGAGCGAGAGAACUAUGGUUAAGGAACUCGGCAAAAUGACCCCGUAACUUCGGGAGAAGGGGUGGUCUAGCGAUAGACCCGCAGUAAAGAGUCCCAGGCAACUGUUUACCAAAAACACAGCUCUCUGCUAAAUCGAAAGAUGAUGUAUAGGGGGUGACACUUGCCCAGUGCUGGAAGGUUAAGAGGAGAGGUUAGUAAUGACUUCGGUUAUAUUUACGAAGCUUCGAAUUGAAGCCCCAGUGAACGGCGGCCGUAACUAUAACGGUCCUAAGGUAGCGAAAUUCCUUGUCAGGUAAGUUCUG
RNAcentral lists this ribosomal RNA (1373 nucleotides) under human gut metagenome. Its description in RNAcentral is "bacterial LSU rRNA". It matches the Rfam family "Bacterial large subunit ribosomal RNA", at positions 618 to 1985 of the family's 2925-position model. The record is from RNAcentral.